UACGUAGGUGGCGAGCGUUGUCCGGAUUUACUGUGCGUAAAGGGAGCGUAGGCGGACUUUUAAGUGAGAUGUGAAAUACCCGGGCUCAACUUGGGUGCUGCAUUUCAAACUGGAAGUCUAGAGUGCAGGAGAGGAGAAUGGAAUUCCUAGUGUAGCGGUGAAAUGCGUAGAGAUUAGGAAGAACACCAGUGGCGAAGGCGAUUCUCUGGACUGUAACUGACGCUGAGGCUCGAAAGCGUGGGGAGCAAACAGGAUUAGAUA
This 261-nucleotide ribosomal RNA is filed under the name uncultured prokaryote. RNAcentral's name for it is "partial 16S ribosomal RNA". It matches the Rfam family "Bacterial small subunit ribosomal RNA", at positions 524 to 784 of the family's 1533-position model. The record is from RNAcentral.